Molecule: unclassified non-coding RNA, 332 nt
Filed under: soil metagenome
Description: partial contains 5.8S ribosomal RNA, internal transcribed spacer 2, and large subunit ribosomal RNA
Rfam family: 5.8S ribosomal RNA (bases 1-120)
Source: RNAcentral
GAUGAAGAACGCAGCGAAAUGCGAUAAGUAAUGUGAAUUGCAGAAUUCAGUGAAUCAUCGAAUCUUUGAACGCACAUUGCGCCCCCUGGUAUUCCGGGGGGCAUGCCUGUUCGAGCGUCAUUUCACCACUCAAGCCUCGCUUGGUAUUGGGCGACGCGGUCCGCCGCGCGCCUCAAAUCGACCGGCUGGGUCUUCCGUCCCCUCAGCGUUGUGGAAACUAUUCGCUAAAGGGUGCCGCGGGAGGUCACGCCGCAAAACAACCCCAUUUCUAAGGUUGACCUCGGAUCAGGUAGGGAUACCCGCUGAACUUAAGCAUAUCGAUAAGCGGAGGA